ACAUAUGCAGUGAGCAGCAGUCCUUUGAGUAAAAAUGCCUUGUUGAUGUCAGAGGAGAAUGGCGAGACUGCUUCAAGAUAAUAGGAAAGCAGAAAUAACUCAAAUAACCACUCAUAUCAACCAAGGUGUGUAGAAAGACAUCUCUGAAUAACACAUUGAAUCCUGUAGCAGAUGGUCUACAACAGCAGAAGACUACAUCAGGUCCCACUCCUGUCAACUAAGACAGCACAGGCUCACCAAAAUUGGAAAUUAGAAGACUGGAAAAACAAUAUGAGCAACAUUCAGAAGGGAAGCACGUUUUCUUUCUGGCUGCUUCUCUGUGGUCUGACCAGAACUAACUCAUCCUUAUUCUAGAAAGUGAACCACAACAUGUGGCAACAGAGCCCACAAACAUGAGCUCAUUCCUCUUGAGGGGAAACUAGCAACUGAAAAAAACAGAGAUAGAAAGAGAGAAAGUCCCAGUGUUCCUCUCCACAUCCAUUUGUCUUUGGACUA
Oreochromis niloticus (Nile tilapia) is the source of this 495-nucleotide long non-coding RNA. RefSeq lists it as uncharacterized. The transcript has 2 exons. The record is from RefSeq and is a predicted model, not a curated record. Lineage: Eukaryota; Metazoa; Chordata; Actinopteri; Cichliformes; Cichlidae.